GUGCCAGCAGUCGCGGUAAUACGUAGAAGACGAGUGUUAUUCAUCUUUAAUAGGUUUAAAGGGUACCUAGACGGCAUAUUAAGCCUUAGUUGGGACUGGUUUGCUAGAGUUACUUAUGAGGAAGUUUUAAUGUACUAGAGGUGAAGAGAUGAAAUUCUGUCAUACCUUUUUUCUUACGAAAAAUUUCGGCACAGGUAUAGGUGAAAACAUCUUCUUAUGGGAUAACUGACGUUGAGGGACGAAGGCUUUUUAUCGCGAACAGGAUUAGAUACCCUGGUAGUCAAAGCAGAAAAUGAUGAGUGUCAUAGAUUAGAUCUAGUUUAUUCUAUAAAUGAAAGUGUAAGCACUCCACCUCAAGAGUAAUUUGGCAACAUUGGAACUGAAAUCAUUAGACCGUGUCUGAAACCAGUAGUGAAGUAUGUUAUUUAAUUUGAUAAUCCGCAAAAAACCUUACCACAACUUGAAUGUUUAUUUACUUACUUUUAUUACAUGUUUUGUGAGCAAUCCUGUAUAUAAUCUAGGUUGCUCUUUAAGCAAUCGUGUUUAUAGAUGAAAUUAAAUAGGUACAAGUGUUGCACGGCUGUCUUCAGUUAAUGUCGUCAGACUAUGGUUAGCUCCAGUAAAUUAACGUAAACCCUUGCUCUAGUUUUAAGUAGAGUAGUUCUCCGCUAUAUUGGAUAAGAUAACAGGGAUCAAGACAAGUCAUCAUGGCCUUAAUGUUGUGGGCUAUAGACGUGCCACGUGAGCCUUUACAAAAGGAUG
Molecule: ribosomal RNA, 762 nt
Filed under: Micarea prasina
Lineage: Eukaryota; Fungi; Ascomycota; Lecanoromycetes; Lecanorales; Micareaceae
Description: SSU rRNA
Rfam family: Bacterial small subunit ribosomal RNA
Source: RNAcentral